This 382-nucleotide ribosomal RNA is filed under the name marine Metazoa environmental sample. Its description in RNAcentral is "partial small subunit ribosomal RNA". It matches the Rfam family "Eukaryotic small subunit ribosomal RNA", at positions 587 to 972 of the family's 1831-position model. Lineage: Eukaryota; Metazoa. The record is from RNAcentral.
AGCUCCAAUAGCGUAUAUUAAAGUUGUUGCAGUUAAAAAGCUCGUAGUUGGAUCUCGGGAGCAGGCCGGCGGUCCGCCUCGCGGCGGGUUCCUCCCGUUCCGCCCCCCCCGCCCGGUUUUCCCCCGGGGUCUUCUAUUUGGUGCCCCGGGUGGCCGGAACGUUUACUUUAAAAAAUUAGAGUGUUCAAAGCAGGCAGUUCGCCUGAAUAAUGGUGCAUGGGAAUAAUGGAAUAGGACCUCGGUUCUAUUUUGUUGGUUUUCGGAACUUGAGGUAAUGAUUAAGAGGGACAGACGGGGGCAUUCGUAUUACACUGUUAGAGGUGAAAUUCUUGGAUCGGUGUAAGACGAACUACUGCGAAAGCAUUUGCCAAGAAUGUUUUCA